This 591-nucleotide unclassified non-coding RNA is filed under the name Hevea brasiliensis (rubber tree). Lineage: Eukaryota; Viridiplantae; Streptophyta; Magnoliopsida; Malpighiales; Euphorbiaceae. The record is from RNAcentral.
GCCAUAUGUCCUGGUGGUGGAGCAGGUAGUGCUUGUGAUGGAAGAGCUACAGAUUUACCCCAGCCUAUCUUCAACUCAUAUUCAUACACAACCACUCCUUGCAUUUCAUCUUUUGCAGCCUGCCCAUCAGCUCUAUUCAUAAAUGCUACAAAUCCACAAUUUCUCUGCCGCCUUCGCUCUUCUUCUGUUCUAGGCCACAUUAUCUUGACACUAGCAAUAGGCCCAAAUCUUCCAAAAGUUCGCAGAAGAAAAUUCUCGUCAACCUGAGGAGAGAGAUUCCCAACAUAAAGAUUUGUAGUUUGUGGAUCACCAUCAUCAAAUGAUCCCUUUCCAGUUGGAUCAAAGUCAUCAGGCAAUUCAUCAAAUCUACUAGAUGGAGCAGCAAUCUCAGUAGCACGCCCAUCACGCCAGCGCUCACGUUCCUGAUUUCGCCUCUCCCUCAUCUCAUGUUCAUGCUUCAGCUCCUCCAUGAAAUGAUCAAUGUUACGUGCCUUCCCUUUUUCCUUUUCCUUUUCCUUUUCCUUUGGUCUUUCCUCCUCUUUCUUCUUCUCAGAUUCUUUCCCCUUGACUGCCAUGGGAGGUGGCAAAAAA